Molecule: ribosomal RNA, 654 nt
Filed under: uncultured Actinomycetes bacterium
Lineage: Bacteria; Bacillati; Actinomycetota; Actinomycetes
Description: bacterial SSU rRNA
Rfam family: Bacterial small subunit ribosomal RNA
Source: RNAcentral
CGCGGCCUAUCAGCUUGUUGGUGGGGUGAUGGCCUACCAAGGCUUUGACGGGUAGCCGGCCUGAGAGGGUGACCGGUCACAUUGGGACUGAGAUACGGCCCAGACUCCUACGGGAGGCAGCAGUGGGGAAUAUUGCACAAUGGGCGAAAGCCUGAUGCAGCGACGCCGCGUGAGGGAUGACGGCCUUCGGGUUGUAAACCUCUUUCGCUCAUGGUCAAGCCGCAACAGUGGUUGUGGUGAGGGUAGUGGGUAAAGAAGCGCCGGCUAACUACGUGCCAGCAGCCGCGGUAAUACGUAGGGCGCGAGCGUUGUCCGGAAUUAUUGGGCGUAAAGGGCUUGUAGGCGGUUGGUCGCGUCUGCCGUGAAAUCCUCUGGCUUAACUGGGGGCGUGCGGUGGGUACGGGCUGACUUGAGUGCGGUAGGGGAGACUGGAACUCCUGGUGUAGCGGUGGAAUGCGCAGAUAUCAGGAAGAACACCGGUGGCGAAGGCGGGUCUCUGGGCCGUUACUGACGCUGAGGAGCGAAAGCGUGGGGAGCGAACAGGAUUAGAUACCCUGGUAGUCCACGCUGUAAACGUUGGGCACUAGGUGUGGGGGCCACCCGUGGUUUCUGCGCCGUAGCUAACGCUUUAAGUGCCCCGCCUGGGGAGUACGG